CUGGCGAGCCCGGCGGUCACGUGGGGCGGGCGCCGCCGCUGCUGCCAGGCGCCGCGGGUCCCGUGCGGUCGGCCCGCCGCUCCGCCGCCCCUCCCCCUUCUCCCCCCGCCGCAUGUCGCUGGCGGCGCGCCCCGCUCCCCGUCAGCCGCCCGCCGCCCGCCGCCGCCUCCACCGCCGCGACCGCUGCCGCCGCCCUUGAUGUGGUUCGGAGCCGGGCGGGGAGAAGAUGCCGCCGUCCAAGUCCCGCAAGAUCGCGAUCCUGGGCUACCGGAGCGUGGGAAAAUCUUCACUGACGAUCCAGUUUGUGGAAGGACAGUUUGUUGAUUCGUAUGAUCCAACCAUAGAGAACACUUUUACAAAACUGAUCACAGUAAAUGGCCAAGAAUAUCAUCUUCAGCUGGUUGACACUGCUGGCCAAGACGAAUACUCCAUAUUUCCUCAGACGUACUCCAUAGACAUCAAUGGCUACAUUCUUGUUUAUUCAGUCACGUCAAUAAAAAGUUUUGAAGUGAUAAAAGUUAUCCAUGGCAAGUUAUUGGAUAUGGUGGGAAAAGUCCAAAUACCCAUUAUGCUGGUUGGAAAUAAAAAAGACCUGCAUAUGGAACGGGUGAUCAGCUAUGAAGAAGGGAAAGCUUUAGCAGAGUCCUGGAAUGCAGCUUUCUUGGAAUCUUCUGCUAAAGAAAAUCAGGUAAGAUGAGAAAAUCAAGAAUACUGAAGUUACCCUCAUGGUGGGCUGUGCAAAGUCAGUGUUUAUGGCUGAAAAAUCUGCUGCCUCCUGUAAUUAACUUGGAAUCCUAAAGACUGCCGUUGAUGUUUUUAAGAGGAUAAUUUUGGAGGCGGAAAAAAUCGAUGGGGCAGCUUCACAAGGGAAGUCUUCAUGCUCAGUAAUGUAAUUCCACUGCAAAACCUGAAAACACUGGGAAUACAUUCUACCUGAAGAAGCAAAACUGCCCAUUAUCUUUAAGGAUAAACUAUGCUUCUUUUUUUUUUAUUUUUUUUUCUUCUGUUAACCUGAAAGAUAAACAAUUGGUUUGGAGCCUUUCCCUUCAGAUUAUGUUAAACUCUGACUCCUGUGCAAAUGGCUUCACUUCCAUUUUCAAAUUUUAAGCAAUCAUAUUUUCAAUUUAUAUAUUGUAUUUCUUAAUAUUAUGACCAAGAAUUUUACUGGCAUUAAUUUUUCAGUGUAGUUUGUUGGUUAGAAUAAUCAUCAAAAUGAUGCAUAUUGUUACACUACUAUUAACUAGGCUUGGAUAUCAGUGUUUCUUUGUGUUAAAUGUAUACUUGUAAAUAAAAUAGCUGCAAACCUUAAA
RNA transcript from Falco peregrinus (peregrine falcon), 1310 nucleotides. It is a transcript of the gene named Ras homolog, mTORC1 binding, with no coding region annotated. NCBI's taxonomy places the organism in Eukaryota, Metazoa, Chordata, Aves, Falconiformes, Falconidae. The transcript is spliced from 9 exons. The record is from RefSeq and is a predicted model, not a curated record.